RNAcentral lists this long non-coding RNA (1262 nucleotides) under Monodelphis domestica (gray short-tailed opossum). RNAcentral's name for it is "lncRNA (ENSMODG00000048723.1)". The record is from RNAcentral. Lineage: Eukaryota; Metazoa; Chordata; Mammalia; Didelphimorphia; Didelphidae.
GUAAGCAUGGCUGCAAUCUAGAAGCCACACGCUUCCUCUCCUCGGCACCGAACGAAAUAGACUACAUCAAAGGAGCAUAAAAUCACCUUUUGAGGAACAGAAGGACUCCCCAGUACCCCACAGAGGCAAAGAGAUGAAUUAUACUCCUUUGUCUUCAUUCUUGGAAUCAACUCAACCUUAGCAUGAACACUGUCCUGGAUGGUAACCAUAGAGGAAUGAUUGUUUUUUUAGGAAUGCUCUCUGGAAAUAAUUUGCCAAAAAAGUAAGCUAGAUUCAAAAUCACUUAGCAUUCAGUAGCAGUGAUUUUAUCAUUUGAUUAUGUAUGACCCUUCCCAAACUGGUGAGUUGCAGUGCAAGUGCAUUUUUUUAAUGUCUCCAUGAGUUCAUAUAGAUCAGUCAUUGUAAACCUUUUAGACACUGAGUGCCCAAACUUCAACCUUCAUGCCACAUGUGAGCCACCCUCUUACCCCAGACAGGGGAGGGAGGAAGAGCCUCCACUGGGCUAUUGGAGAGAGGGGCAGGUGAUGGGAGAAAUGUCCUUAGGUGCCCAUGGAGAGGGGGAAGGGAGCAGCCCCCUCCAGCAAAGUGCCAUAGGUUCACCAACAUGGAUAUAGAACUUCUUUUUGUUGAUUCAGAUCACUUCUCCACAUAUACCCUUAAAACCCUUCAUAGAAUAUCUGUCUAACAGGAUGAAAGUGUUCCUUCAAUUUUCUAUUGUUUGUUGUUUUUUUCUCUUUUUUAAACAGGAAACAACAGUUCAUAGUAAAAAUAAAAAAAAUAUUGAACUUGGAGUCAGAAGAAGAGAGUUAACUCUCUGGAGAAAGGCUUUUGGCAACUUUGCGGCUUGGGCAACUUUGUGGCUUGGGCGGCUUUUGUGGCUUUUGGCGACUUUCAGGCUUUGGCAGACUUGGCUCUGGAACUUGAACCUGGAGGAGCUCAGUGUGAGAUCUCAGACUGCUUUUCUUGAAGGGACUACAUGGAGGAUGACUCUUUGGGGCCUAAAAGAAAUAUACAAAGGCCUAGAGAAAUACUUUCAGCACCUCUUUGGAAGACUUAAAUGAAAUAAUGGACAAAAAUCAAGCAGGAUGAGAAAUCAUGACUGAGUUGCAGCCUACAACUAUGAGAGAGACUCACACUAAUGCAAUACCCAAAUCAAAAAUAGCAAAAUAGCUUAACCUAAAAGGAGGAGAAUUGGAUCUGUUGUGCUUUGAAGGUUUUACUCUGAAAAGAAAAAUACAAAUAAACUCUUCAAAGAGUUACCA